ACUCAAAUGAAUUGACGGGGGCCCGCACAAGCGGUGGAGCAUGUGGUUUAAUUCGACGCAACGCGAAGAACCUUACCCAGACUUGACAUGCACAGGACAUCCGUGGAAACACGGCCUCCCCGCAAGGGGUCUGUGCACAGGUGCUGCAUGGCUGUCGUCAGCUCGUGUCGUGAGAUGUUGGGUUAAGUCCCGCAACGAGCGCAACCCUUGUCGCUAGUUGCACCAGAUAAUGCUGAGCACUCUAGCGAGACUGCCGGUGGUAAACCGGAGGAAGGUGGGGAUGACGUCAAGUCCUCAUGGCCCUUACGUCUGGGGCUACACACGUGCUACAAUGACCGGUACAGAGGGAUGCAAGACCGCGAGGUGGAGCCAAUCCCACAAAGCCGGCCUCAGUUCGGAUUGCAGUCUGCAACUCGACUGCAUGAAGUCGGAAUCGCUAGUAAUCGCUGAUCAGCAGGCAGCGGUGAAUACGUUCCCGGGCCUUGUACACACCGCCCGU
Molecule: ribosomal RNA, 499 nt
Filed under: uncultured bacterium
Lineage: Bacteria
Description: partial 16S ribosomal RNA
Rfam family: Bacterial small subunit ribosomal RNA
Source: RNAcentral